AUGAAGAACCUCGUGAGCUUUAUCGGAGGUCCAUCCUCCUCUCACCGCGCCAAAGAUAGUCCAACUCCGACGCAGAUGGAGAAGACGGUGGUUCUGUACCCCGGCCUCGCCGUGAGCCACUUCGUCCCCAUGAUGCGGCUCGCCGGCUCGCUCCUCGAGCACGGCUACGCCGUCUCCGUCGCGCUGACCAUCGACGCCGCCGUCACGGGGGACGCAGCGUUCGCGGGCCGCGUCGCCGCUGCCAUGCCGUCCGUCCGCUUCCACACGCUCCCGCCUGUGGAGGACCCGCCCAGGCUAGCCCCCAGCGCGCAGUUCCUCCUCAGCUACUUCCACCUCUUGCGCCGCUACAACGACCGCCUCCACGACUUCCUCUGCUCCUCCACGCGCAUCCACGCCGUGGUCGUCGACUCGCUGUCAGUGUCGGCCGAUACGCUGGAGGUCACCAAGAGGCUCGGCAUCCCCGGGUACGUCAUGUUCACCUCCGGCGCCGCCUUCGCACAGCUUCCUUAUGUCCUCGGGGAGGGCCGCCGGAGAAGCUUCAAGGAGCUGGGCGACGCCCCUAUCGAGUUCCUUGGCCUUCCGCCGGUUCCGGCUUCGCACCUGUUCGCCGAGGUGCUCGAGGACCCGGAGAGCGACACGUACAAGACGACGAUGGCCGAGCUGUCCCGGAUCCCGGACACCGAUGGCAUCCUGGUGAACACGGUCGAGUCAUUGGAGGCUCGCGCGGUGGCCGCUCUGAGGGACCCUCGGUGCCUCCCCGCCGGCCGGGUCAUGCCUCCGGUGUACUGCGUCGGGCUGGGGCCAUUCCUCGGCGGCAUCGAGAGCGAGGCGGACGAGCGGCACGAGUGUCUCGCCUGGCUAGACGCGCAGCCGGACCGCAGCGUGGUGUUCCUCUGCUUCGGGAGCACGGGCGCAGCGAACCACUCGGCGGAGCAGCUCAAGGAGAUCGCCGCCGGCCUGGAGAAGUCCGGCCACUGGUUCCUGUGGGUCAUGCGAGCACCCCACGGCGGCGACCCGGACCUCGACGCUCUCCUGCCGGACGGGUUCCUGGAGCGCACCGGCGGCCACGGCCUCGUCCUCAAGCAGUGGGCGCCGCAGGCCGAGGUGCUCCGCCACGGGGCCACCGGCGCGUUCGUGACGCACUGCGGGUGGAACUCGGUGCUGGAGGGCGUGGCGGCGGGCGUGCCGAUGCUGUGCUGGCCGCUCCACACGAAGUAG
RNAcentral lists this ribosomal RNA (1218 nucleotides) under Triticum aestivum (bread wheat). RNAcentral's name for it is "partial small subunit ribosomal RNA". Lineage: Eukaryota; Viridiplantae; Streptophyta; Magnoliopsida; Poales; Poaceae. The record is from RNAcentral.